GACAGAGGCCUCAAGCGUUAGGCGGAAUCACUGGGCUUAAAGCGUGUGUAGGCGGGUUGGUAAGUCCGCUGUGAAAGCCCGGAGCUCAACUCCGGAGGGUCGGUGGAUACUGCCAGUCUUGAAGGUGCUAGGGGGAGAUGGAAUUACCGGUGUAGCGGUGAAAUGCGUAGAGAUCGGUAGGAACACCAGUGGCGAAGGCGGUCUCCUGGGGCAUUCUUGACGCUGAUGCGCGAAAGCUGGGGGAGCGAACGGG
RNAcentral lists this ribosomal RNA (253 nucleotides) under uncultured bacterium. RNAcentral describes it as "partial 16S ribosomal RNA". It matches the Rfam family "Bacterial small subunit ribosomal RNA", at positions 524 to 776 of the family's 1533-position model. The record is from RNAcentral.